CCUACGGGGGGCAGCAGUAGGGAAUCUUCCACAAUGGGCGAAAGCCUGAUGGAGCAACGCCGCGUGGGUGAAGAAGGUCUUCUGAUCGUAAAACCCUGUUGUUAGAGAAGAAAGUGCGUGCGAGUAACUGUUCACGUUUCGACGGUAUCUACCCAGAAAGCCCCGGCUAACUACGUGCCAGCAGCCGCGGUAAUAGGUAGGUGGCAAGCGUUAUCCGGAUUUAUUGGGGGUAAAGGGAACGCUGGCGGUCUUUUGAGUCUGGUGUGAAGGCCUUGGGCUUAACCGGAGGAGUGCAUUGGAAACUGGGGGACUUGAGUGCAGAAGAGGAGAGUGGAACGCCAUGUGUAGCGGUGAAAUGCGUAGAUAUAUGGAAGAACACCAGUGGCGAAGGCGGCUCUCUGGUCUGUAACUGACGCUGAGGUUCGAAAGCGUGGGUAGCAAACAGGAUUAGAUACCCGUGUAGUC
RNAcentral lists this ribosomal RNA (465 nucleotides) under uncultured bacterium. RNAcentral's name for it is "partial 16S ribosomal RNA". It matches the Rfam family "Bacterial small subunit ribosomal RNA", at positions 338 to 795 of the family's 1533-position model. The record is from RNAcentral.